GCCCGGAUAGCUCAGUCGGUAGAGCAGGGGAUUGAAAAUCCCCGUGUCGGUGGUUCGAUUCCGCCUCCGGGCA
Non-coding RNA from Oleiphilus sp. HI0009, 73 nucleotides. NCBI's taxonomy places the organism in Bacteria, Pseudomonadati, Pseudomonadota, Gammaproteobacteria, Oceanospirillales, Oleiphilaceae. The record is from Rfam.